This 491-nucleotide ribosomal RNA is filed under the name uncultured bacterium. Its description in RNAcentral is "partial 16S ribosomal RNA". It matches the Rfam family "Bacterial small subunit ribosomal RNA", at positions 29 to 506 of the family's 1533-position model. The record is from RNAcentral.
AGUGAACGCUGGCGGUAGGCCUAACACAUGCAAGUCGAACGGCAGCACAGUAAGAGCUUGCUCUUACGGGUGGCGAGUGGCGGACGGGUGAGGAAUACAUCGGAAUCUACUUUUUCGUGGGGGAUAACGUAGGGAAACUUACGCUAAUACCGCAUACGACCUACGGGUGAAAGCAGGGGAUCUUCGGACCUUGCGCGAUUGAAUGAGCCGAUGUCGGAUUAGCUAGUUGGCGGGGUAAAGGCCCACCAAGGCGACGAUCCGUAGCUGGUCUGAGAGGAUGAUCAGCCACACUGGAACUGAGACACGGUCCAGAGUCCUACGGGAGGCAGCAGUGGGGAAUAUUGGAAAAUGGGCGCAAGCCUGAUCCAGCCAUACAGCGUGGGUGAAGAAGGCCUUCGGGUGGUAAAGCCCUUUUGUUGGGAAAGAAAAGCAGCAGGUUAAUACCCCGCUGUUCUGACGGUACCCAAAGAAUAAGCACCGGCUAACUUCGU